GAGGUGAACUCGACUCAAGAUACCACGGAAAUUGAUUGAAUAGUAGCUGUUGCAACGACUUUGAGGUGAAUAAUGGAUUGCGUGCAAUUUGAUAGUGUACAAGACCAAGUUGCUCGAGGAGCACUCUUGUGAUGAUAAGUGACUCCUCAAUGGUUCCAAUGUCAACAAUUGCCUGCCAUUGCGGCUGUUGUGGGCCAAUCACAGCUCGGCCUCUGCGAGUUGUUUUCAAGCCUCAAUUCUAGCAAGGUUUGGAAUCUGACAACAGAGGUUUGCAGCUUGCUAAGGCUUAUUUUUCCGAAUCACAAAACAAUCACCCUUUAAAGUUGCCUCCACUCGUGACAAAAAGUUAGGCUUGCAUAAUCUUUUAUCGAACGCGACUUUCUAUGUCUCCAACUUUCAGCCCACUUGUCUUUUUCCCCUGCCAGUUCCCUCGCAUUUCGUGUCUCUCGCUCAUUCCGAGCCUCUCCCUCGGGCCGCUUCGAUGCUCGCUGCCGGGCUGAGCUCCUGCAAGGUUGCCGUGCUUGUGUGUAUUUUAGGCCUGCCAGCAUGUUUCUCCAUGAAGCAAGGUAUGACUCACAAAUCAGAUAUUUGACCAGGAGAUCCACUGAGUAGAGUAGAGCCGAAGCGUGGGAGGAAAGUGUGGAUAGCUCACAAAGGGAGUAUGGCUGACCUCGAUCUUUCCAUCUGGUAAACAGACUGCUAUUUCAACUCAAUUCCAAAGAAAGAAUUGUUUUUCCCAACACCAAACGGCUCGCAGAGCUUCACUAGAAGACCGCUUGUACAGAGGAGAGGCUGGCGGCGUGAGGGUUGAACGUCGUUUCUACAAAUGGGACUGUGACUUCAGGUUUCAGGUGGGCAUGAUAGCCGAGCUUUUAUUUUGUCGCUCUUGAGAGUGAUUAUGUAGCAAGGAGGCAAUUUUACCUGGUGCUUUGGAAAGCGUAUUUUCUCACACGCACAAAGCGAGUCCCUGCAGAGAACAAGGCAGCUCUACAAAAGAGCCUUGAACAUCCUAAGUGCGUUGGGUGCUCACACCAGGUCUCCCCUCACACUGGACAGAGCCUCAUGGCCAGGCCCAUUUGUCCACUAAUGGUGCAAGGAACGCAGGCGCGCCUCCUCAAUCCGGGUUUACCUCUCUGUCUGCUCCUGACAACCAAUGUACAGAGGUGCCACGACAUUCGAGUGACCCCACUCGUGGAUUUUUCAAGAUAUGAGCCGUCAUUUUGCAAACUUGAGAUGCAAACUGUAGGAUGGCAGUCAACUCAACGUAGCUCAUUUCACAAGCAAUAUUUUGGCAAAUCAUGACCAAUUCAUCAAAAAUGAUUCUUUGAGCUGUUUAAGGCCACAUCCUUUCAAAGUUUACUGUCAAACUAAAUACAAAAUGGAGAGAAUUCCACCAUGUGUAUUAAUAACGAAUCAAACAACCUUCAAAAGAAAGGCCUCACUGGUUUAAUGGUAGCAUGAAAUAAAAAAUGUUCACAUGCUAACGAGUCCCAUCGAUAGUUGCUGCUUUAGAAGGCUGAAGGAAUCGAAGACGUUUCAAUAAACGGUGAACAACAAACAGAACAAUACUGCAGGCAUAUAUUCUUUGUCAUCUUCAAAGAAUGAUUGAUAUUAUAGCAUCUUUCUGAGUCACUGACUGAAACUAUUCUUCAUUGUUUGUGUCUGCAUGAUGGUAUUAUACUGUCCCCAGAUAGUGGCCAAGACAGAGCAGACACCAGAAGGAUCAGUGCAAUAAAAUGAAUCGUACAAUUGUCA
Molecule: long non-coding RNA, 1755 nt
Organism: Syngnathus acus (greater pipefish)
Lineage: Eukaryota; Metazoa; Chordata; Actinopteri; Syngnathiformes; Syngnathidae
Exons: 2
Source: RefSeq, a predicted model, not a curated record